RNAcentral lists this ribosomal RNA (624 nucleotides) under Triticum aestivum (bread wheat). RNAcentral describes it as "partial small subunit ribosomal RNA". Lineage: Eukaryota; Viridiplantae; Streptophyta; Magnoliopsida; Poales; Poaceae. The record is from RNAcentral.
AUGGUUUCCAGCCAUAUCCAUAUUUUUCCCUCCCACCGUUGCCCUGCCAUGGCAGCGUAUGUGCUAACCGACACCUUGCUCGACUCUUCUCUCCCCAUCGCUUCCACCUCUCGCGCGCUCCCCUCCUCCGCCACCCGCGGCCAGCCGGGCUCUUCAACCCUCCUCCCGGCGGCGUCGACUGGAGCUGGCACGGCCGUGGUGUGUGCUGUCCACGGCCAGGACACCACCAUCCAGGACCAAGUUGCCGAAGGAGAUCCGGUCCUGGCGUGUUGCUCGUAUCACUGUCGCCCUUCAUCGGAUUCACCGGAGCCAAAGGAGAAGGAGGAGGCAGCGGAGCCGGAUGAGGACGAUGCUGCCAUGAAGGAGGAGGAACUAGAGCCGGCGGAGCCGGAUGAGGACGACACUGCCAUGAAGAAGGAGGAACCGGAGCCGGAGGAUGAUGCGUUCGAGGAGGAACCGGAGGUGGCGGUGGAGGCGGAUCCGGUCUCUGCCGCUUCGACAUGGCCUACGCCAUGGCGGAGUUUGAGGGGGCCCAAACGGAGAUGGCGGAGCAACUGCCCUCCUCGAGUCCUUCGAGUCGGAGCACGAGGUGAGGCGAAUCGCCGAGCUCUUCACCAAGCUUGA